CUCCCCGUAGUUCAACGGAUAGAACAAGGGACUUCUAAUCCUUAAAUCGAGGUUCGAUUCCUCGCGGGGAGA
This 72-nucleotide transfer RNA is filed under the name bacterium. RNAcentral's name for it is "tRNA-Arg". It matches the Rfam family "tRNA". From Rfam's summary of the family: Transfer RNA (tRNA) molecules are approximately 80 nucleotides in length. The record is from RNAcentral.